CCGCACAAGCGGAGGAGCAUGUGGUUUAAUUCGAUGAUACGCGAGGAACCUUACCUGGGCUCGAACGUAAGAUGACUGUAGGUGAAAGCUUACAUCUCUUCGGAGCAUUUUACGAGGUGCUGCAUGGUUGUCAUCAGCUCGUGCCGUGAGGUGUCGGGUUAAGUCCCAUAACGAGCGCAACCCCUACCUUUAGUUGCCAUCAGGUUAAGCUGGGGACUCUAAAGGAACUGCCUACGCAAGUAGUGAGGAAGGCGGGGAUGACGUCAAAUCAGCACGGCCCUUACGUCCAGGGCUACACACGUGCUACAAUGGCCGAUACAGAGGGCAGCUACCUGGUGACAGGAUGCAAAUCUCCAAAGUCGGUCUCAGUUCGGAUCGGAGUCUGCAACCCGACUCCGUGAAGUUGGAUUCGCUAGUAAUCGCGCACCAGCCAUGGCGCGGUGAAUACGUUCCCGGGCCUU
Molecule: ribosomal RNA, 461 nt
Filed under: uncultured Sphingobacteriales bacterium
Lineage: Bacteria; Pseudomonadati; Bacteroidota; Sphingobacteriia; Sphingobacteriales
Description: bacterial SSU rRNA
Rfam family: Bacterial small subunit ribosomal RNA
Source: RNAcentral